CAGGUAGGACUACCCGCUGAACUUAAGCAUAUCAUNAA
Molecule: ribosomal RNA, 38 nt
Filed under: Rhizopogon roseolus
Lineage: Eukaryota; Fungi; Basidiomycota; Agaricomycetes; Boletales; Rhizopogonaceae
Description: partial 18S ribosomal RNA
Source: RNAcentral